This 387-nucleotide long non-coding RNA is filed under the name Callithrix jacchus (white-tufted-ear marmoset). Its description in RNAcentral is "lncRNA (ENSCJAG00000072097.1)". Lineage: Eukaryota; Metazoa; Chordata; Mammalia; Primates; Cebidae. The record is from RNAcentral.
CAGCCCGCCUCCGGGAGACGCAGCAGGGUGCAGGGUGCAGGGUGCUGAAGUCGGAGGCAGAACCCACUUCAGCUCAGGCAGCAGUAGAGACGGGGUUUCACCAUGCCGACCAGGCUGAUCUCAAACUCCUGAUCUUAAGUGAUCCUCGCACCUCAGCCUCCCAAAGUGCUGGAAUUACAGAUGUGGGCCACCUCGCCUGGUCUCCAGUGGCAUCUUGUUGAAAUGCCUUCGACGUGGGAGUUAUCUCUAGCAUGCCGACUUGGUAGGAGAGAGAGCCAAGGUCUUGGUUUACUCUGCUGGAAAGUGAGGAUGAUCUUCCUCACAGGGUCUUUAUGGGGAUUCAGUGUGAAGAUCCCCCUGGCACUCAGGAAACAGUGCCACCUCUGA